Mirounga angustirostris (Northern elephant seal) is the source of this 5274-nucleotide RNA transcript. It is a transcript of the gene named SLAIN motif family member 2, with no coding region annotated. The transcript is spliced from 11 exons. NCBI's taxonomy places the organism in Eukaryota, Metazoa, Chordata, Mammalia, Carnivora, Phocidae. The record is from RefSeq and is a predicted model, not a curated record.
AGGUCACCGACGGGGCCGGGCUGCGGGGGGCGGAGGGACGGAGGGAAGAUGGCGGCCGAGGCCGGAUAUUGGCGCCGCCUCCCCCAAUCCUGGAGCCGGCGCAGAUGAGGCGGCUCGGCUGGGGCCAGCGGCGCUUCGGAACCCGAGCUGGGGGGACCCUGGCGGUGGGGCCUGGCCCUGCUGUAUGCCGGCGCCUCGGCUAGAGUGAGCGGCGGCGGCGACGCCUCUUUGCCCUGGCCCUCUCCCUGUCGCUGUGAGUCCGAGCGGGUGGCAGGCGGCACAGGCGGCGGGGCCGGGAUGGAGGACGUUAACUCCAACGUGAACGCGGACCAGGAGGUGCGGAAGCUGCAGGAGCUGGUGAAGAAGCUGGAGAAGCAGAACGAACAGCUGAGGAGCCGCUCGGGGGCCGUGCAGGGCGUCGGCUCCCUCGGGCCCGGCAGUCCGGUUCGGGCUGGCUCGUCCACUCCCUCCUCCGGCGCGGCGUCCCCUCGGGGCUUCCCCUUGGGCCUCAGUGCCAAGUCCGGCGGCGGGGUCGGGUCGGGCCCGAGGCGGACGAGCAGCGAGGAGCUGCGGGACGCCACCUCCUUGCUGGCAGCGGGCGAGGGCGGCUUUCUGGACGAGGUGGAGCCGCUGCGGCCCGAGGAGCUGGAGCGCCUGUCGGGCUGGGAGGAGGAGGAGGAGAGCUGGCUGUAUUCAUCACCAAAGAAAAAACUUACACCAAUGCAGAAAUCAGUUAGUCCAUUAGUUUGGUGCAGGCAAGUUUUGGAUUACCCAAGUCCUGAUGUUGAAUGUGCUAAAAAGUCUCUUAUCCACAAACUUGAUCAAACUAUGUCAGCUCUCAAGAGGCAGAAUUUAUAUAAUAAUCCUUUCAACUCCAUGAGUUACGCAAGUCCUUACAGUCCGAAUGCAAGUAGCCCAUACAGCAGUGGUUUCAAUUCUCCAUCCUCAACCCCAGUGCGACCUCCUGUAGUCAAACAGCUAAUACUUCCUGGAAAUUCAGGUAAUUUGAAAAGUUCAUCAGACAGAAAUCCUCCACUCAGCCCUCAGUCCUCUAUAGACAGUGAGUUAAGUGCUUCAGAAUUAGAUGAAGAUUCAAUUGGAUCCAAUUAUAAGCUAAAUGAUGUAACUGAUGUACAGAUUCUAGCUCGGAUGCAGGAAGAAAGUCUCCGUCAGGAGUAUGCAGCCACCACAUCUCGGCGCAGUUCUGGUUCAUCUUGCAAUUCUACAAGACGGGGUACUUUUAGUGAUCAGGAACUUGAUGCGCAAAGUUUAGAUGAUGAAGAUGACAAUAUGCAUCAUGCAGUAUACCCUGCUGUUAACAGGUUUUCACCAUCACCACGCAAUUCACCUCGACCAUCACCUAAGCAGUCACCCAGAAAUUCACCUCGUUCACGAUCUCCUGCUCGGGGAAUAGAAUAUAGUAGAGUGUCCCCACAGCCUAUGAUUAGCCGCUUACAACAACCUCGCCUUUCACUUCAAGGUCAUCCCACAGAUUUACAGACAAGCAGUGUCAAAAAUGAAGAAAAACUGAGACGCAGUCUUCCAAACCUGUCCCGAACAUCUAGUACACAAGUUGACUCAGUGAAAAGCAGCAGAAGUGACUCAAAUUUUCAAGUGCCAAAUGGAGGAAUACCUCGCAUGCAACCUCAGGCUUCAGCCACUUCGCAAAGGCUGAAAAAUUUGCCUCGUACUUCCCUCAAAGCCAAACAGUUGCUUCCAACUUCAUCUACAAAAAGAGCUAGAACUUCCAGCACUAUGAAUAAGAGUGACUUUUCCAGAAUACUCUUUGAAGCUUAUGAUCCUGUGAACUGUACUGUUCUUGCUCCUAUCAGAAACCUGUGUUCUACCAAAACAAAACCCUGGCUGAAAGACUACCAACUAUGGGAAAAGCUAGGACUGAAGAUGGCCUUUUUGGAGUUGGUACUAGAAGGAGGAGGUCCAGGCCACACCCUCAGUACCUUCUCCAGGCAAAUUCCGCUCCCCUGCAGCACCAUCUCCUUUGGCUCUCCGGCAACCAGUAAAAGCAUUUAGUAACCAUGGCUCUGGUUCUCCUGGUAGCCAAGAAACAACACAGCUCACACAGACCACCUCCUCACCUGGGCCUCCCAUGGUUCAGAACACAGUCCCAGCAAAUCCUCCCAACAAUAUCAACAGCACUACUCUAACCAGACCUGCAGGGACAACCGCGAUGAGAAGUGGCUUGCCCAGACCCAGUGCCCCUUCUGCUGGGGGUAUACCAGUGCCUCGCAGCAAACUUGCACAGCCUGUUCGCAGAUCCUUGCCAGCUCCUAAAACCUAUGGUAGCAUGAAAGAUGACAGUUGGAAAGAUGGCUGCUAUUGACCAGCAAAGAUGGGAAUGCAGAGGCCCACAGCUUCAUGGAUACCCCUUCACCAGGCUAAAAGACAACUUUUACAUGCAGACUGUUCAGAUAAGACUCUUGGGGUUUAUAAAUCCCAGCCCUCUCUGUCUUAAUUAGCACAAACUGACAGAGAUGAUCAAGCAGCACUUUAAUGACAUUUAACAUCAGAUGUGUUUGGUAAUCAUACAAUCACUCUCCAUGGAAUCACAUUUAGUUUUGUUUAGUAGAAACUAAGUUGAUUUUUAAAUAUUUGACAGGCCAAUAUCUGGGCAAAAAACUAAUGGAUGCCAAAGAGAAAUGCCCAUUUGUAAAUGAGAGAAUACCUUUGUGCACAAGAAAAUGGUGAAUUCAAGCUAUCCAAAACUUCACAUUCAACCUAAUUUACUGUAUAAAUAGCAUCAAUAAAUAUUUGUGUUAAUGAGAACUAAUAUUCUGACUAAUUAUCUAAAAUGUUUCACUAGUGUUUCACUAGUACUCCAAGAAACGAAAUUGAGAUGGAAGGGAGGAUGGGGGUGGGAAGAAAUCUAGGCUAGAGAUUUCAAACAUGAUACCUGAUGUAUCAGAAAAACUGUCAUUUUGUUUAAUCUUAAGUUUUGGAUGUAGCUCACAUAUCACCACCAUCAGAUAACGUUACACCGUGCAUCCACUGUAUUGCAUUGACAUAUCGGACUUCUGCGUGUUUGUUUUGAUUGCCAAAAGGGCUUAAUAUCAGUUGUACAAUCUUUCUAAACUUUAUAGCUCCUGGCUCAGGAAAGAUAGCCUUUGCUAUUGAAGCCGACUUCUUCACAUGCUAUUACAUCUGUUACAGAACUAAGAGAUUGUCUUUUUAUUAGCAGGUUUCCAUGAUAGGAAAGAGCAAGUAGUAUGUGUCUUUAUUCUUGAUAUAACUAACACCGCCUCAGUGCUUACAACCUGGAACGAUACCAUACCAUGAGAGAGAGGGGGAAAAAAUCUAUGCACUUAACUUAUAAAAUCUCUGGUAAUGACAGUUGUAUUGUUACUAUUAAUUGACACAAUGGUCUAUUAUGUGGUAGGAAGAUAGAGCCUGCUGAAUCCUACUUAAGUUGAUCCACUUUAAACUAGGUAACUGUGUAAAACCUCGUUUGAAAAUACUGUCCCUUUUGACUUGGAUUCUGCCUUACAUUAAUUUUUACAUUUUUGGUAACAAAUGAAACCCACUACAUAUGACUCUAAUCUGUUAAAUACUUGCUCUCUAGUGGCCCUUAUGUAUAUCCUGGAAAUCACUUAUUUUGGUUUUAUUAGACAAUUACCAGACUAAAACUUCCUUCAGCGGGCUUCUCAUUUUUCAUGGUGAGGUCUGUUUUAAAAUACUUAAUUUGAAUGGCUCUGAAAUAUUGGCAGUCAGGUUACCUAAAGGAUUUUAGAGACUUGAACAUAAAUUCAUUUCCUGUUAGUCAAAGACAUUCUGUAAGUUGGCAAAAGAAAUUGAGAGACAAGUGAGAGACUUGAUAUUCAGGAUAGCAUUGAGGUUGAUAGGUUGAGAGAAUGAUAAAAUGUUUAAAACCAAGGCCCCAAUUCUGCCGUGACACCAUGGUAUUUUUUAUUAGCUUGACCAAUAGGGAGUCAUUCAGUUAGCACAUGCAGCUGGAGAUUUAAACUGCCAGUGCUAAUGUAUUUUGGUGUAUAAUGCAAGGGAGAAAUUGUAUCCUUGAAUUUGAGGGUGAUGGGUGUGGGUCAGGGAAGGGCGGCGCCAGAAUUCCACAUGAUGAUGAACUAAAAAAUGUUGCUGUUCAGAGGAAGAUAAAGCAUCUGCUUUGGGUGGGGGGUAACUCAUGUAAAAAUCUAAGGAAAAGAAAGAACUAGCCACUGUCUCUUUUUAAAACCAUACGUACACAAAACAAAAUAGGUCUCAGUUUCAGUGCAACAUUGCAAAAGAAAAAUAUGCUGCAAUCUAAUAAUUACAAGGAAUUUUAACUCUAUUUGAAACACCCAUUACAUUAAGUUAGAUUAUCUGUUUCAAAAGGAGUAUUCAGGUUAUUUAACUUUGUUUUUAAAUGGCUGCAUCAGAAAAAAAAUGUCUAUUUUUUUUUUUUUAUUAAAAUGCUUCAUCACUUGUUAGAAACGUAUUUGGGUCUGAGUUGGGUAAAGCAUUAUUUUACCUGCGGUUGUACAACCACAGACUAUUGGCUUUUAGGUUCCUAAAGAGAAAAAUUGCCUUUUCACUAGACGGCCUUUGUGUGUUGCCAAUUUUUCUGUUUGGGAAUAUCUAAGGAUUCACUGUGGUUAGUCUUACAGAAGAAAUGUGGAUUUGAUAAACUAGUGCCUAUGAUUUUAACUUAUGUUUGAUAUAUAGUAGUAAGGGUUUUAUGAAUGUUGAUUAUUUUUCUGUGCCAACAGCCCAGAAUUGUCACUUAUAUGUAAGCAGAAAGCUAUGAGCUCUGCUUCCAAAGUUAUUUAAUUUUCUCAGUGUUUGAAUGUUAUUUUUUUGUAAGUGUGUUAAUAAAAGUGUAAAAAAUUGGAAAAAAUAUAAAUAUUCUUAACUCAAGCAUUUGCUGGAUCAUUUUUCUACAGAACUUGUUUGUAUAAUAUAAAACACUCUCUGAAGAGUUGACUUUUUUCAGUUUUCAUGCCCUGGAAAUCACAUUUUGUAAAACUGGGGACCAUUCAUAAUUGUCAGAUACUUUUUAAAAUUAUCUCAAUAUAUCACUUUUAUAAGAGUUUUUUUGAAAGGAAAUUAGAUACAUGUGUCCCCAGACAUUUGUAUAACUCCAGAAUGAUCUAGACUAUGUAUGUUUAAAUUUUUAUUGAAUGUACAGACAUCCAUUUUUGACAUUACGCAUGGUCCUUUUAGAUCACAUGAAGUUUGAUUUGCAAACAUUUCUAUAGCUGAACUUGUAUGUGUGGUUGCCUCCUUAAUAAAACAGCCUGACCAUAAUGUUUAUUAUUAAAUUUA